GUCGAGAAUCUUCCGCAAUGGGCGAAAGCCUGACGGAGCGACGCCGCGUGGAGGACGAAGGCCUUCGGGUUGUAAACUCCUGUCACGAGUUAAGAAGGAUUCGAUACGAACAGUGUUGAGUCUUGACGUAAGCUCGAGAGGAAGCACUGGCUAACUCUGUGCCAGCAGCCGCGGUAAUACAGAGAGUGCGAACGUUGUUCGGAAUUACUGGGCUUAAAGCGCACGUAGGCGGUGUCGUAAGUGUCAGGUGAAAUCCCACGGCUCACCCGUGGAACUGCCUGGCAGACUGCGACACUCGAGUGUGGUAGGGGAGAGCGGAACUCCUGGUGGAGCGGUGAAAUGCGUAGAUAUCAGGAGGAACACCGGUGGCGAAGGCGGCUCUCUGGUCCACAACUGACGCUGAGGUGCGAAAGCUAGGGGAGCAAACGGGAUUAGAUACCCCUGUAGUCC
RNAcentral lists this ribosomal RNA (450 nucleotides) under uncultured bacterium. Its description in RNAcentral is "bacterial SSU rRNA". It matches the Rfam family "Bacterial small subunit ribosomal RNA", at positions 354 to 796 of the family's 1533-position model. The record is from RNAcentral.